Molecule: ribosomal RNA, 254 nt
Filed under: uncultured bacterium
Lineage: Bacteria
Description: partial 16S ribosomal RNA
Rfam family: Bacterial small subunit ribosomal RNA
Source: RNAcentral
UACGUAGGGUGCAAGCGUUGUCCGGAAUUACUGGGCGUAAAGCGUGCGCAGGCGGUUCGUCGUGUCCGAUGUGAAAGCCCCGGGCUCAACCUGGGAAUGGCAUUGGAAACUGGCGGACUCGAGUGUGGCAGAGGGGGGUGGAAUUCCGGCGUGUAGCAGUGAAAUGCGUAGAGAUGCGGAGGAACACCGAUGGCGAAGGCAGCCCCCUGGGCUAACACUGACGCUCAGGCACGAAGCUAGGGUAGCAAACGGGG